Molecule: ribosomal RNA, 427 nt
Filed under: uncultured bacterium
Lineage: Bacteria
Description: partial 16S ribosomal RNA
Rfam family: Bacterial small subunit ribosomal RNA
Source: RNAcentral
UGGGGAAUAUUGCACAAUGGGCGCAAGCCUGAUGCAGCCAUGCCGCGUGUAUGAAGAAGGCCUUCGGGUUGUAAAGUACUUUCAGCGGGGAGGAAGGCGAUGUGGUUAAUAACCGCGUCGAUUGACGUUACCCGCAGAAGAAGCACCGGCUAACUCCGUGCCAGCAGCCGCGGUAAUACGGAGGGUGCAAGCGUUAAUCGGAAUUACUGGGCGUAAAGCGCACGCAGGCGGUCUGGCAAGUCGGAUGUGAAAUCCCCGGGCUCAACCUGGGAACUGCAUCCGAAACUGGCAGGCUUGAGUCUCGUAGAGGGGGGUAGAAUUCCAGGUGUAGCGGUGAAAUGCGUAGAGAUCUGGAGGAAUACCGGUGGCGAAGGCGGCCCCCUGGACGAAGACUGACGCUCAGGUGCGAAAGCGUGGGGAGCAAACA